UUUAUCCGACCAUUAUCUUGACUUCAUCUAUAGCUGUAACGUUGUGCACCGUGUGUGAAGCGGGUUACUGUUAUAUUUAGUAAUGUGGGCGUCAUAUUUAGCUUUGGUGGUACAGCAUGUAUUGCAUGUUAACCAUUUUGAUAAAUAUGGAUAAAUUGAUAGUAAUUUUUAAGUUUGCAAGACGAAUGUGGACGAUUGGCAGGUUGUGCGUGUGACACUGUCGUUGUAAUGGGGAGCCUGCUCAAACGCAGUCCACAAUUUGUCCGAGGAAAUCCGCAUCAGUCUGUGCUAAGUGCUGCUAGCCACGUUGCAGGAGCACAUGGCAGUCGGCAUGGCCCUCUGACCCAGUGUCCAUGACUGGAGCUUCGACAAGCCUUCCAUGUUUCCGUAGCUAGAGAACGGUAAUCCGGCCCAUUUCCUCGCCACGUGGCCUGUUCCAGUUUCUGUAAAGAUGCUUCAAUUGAAAUUGCUUUUGAAGUGUUCUGACUGAAGAUGCUGUCUAUCUAAAUAAAAGUCAAUUUAUUGCAGUAUUGCCGUAGUCAUUCUGUGGUAUGCACUUUCUUUGAACCUGUGUGGCCUUAACAAUGGCUGCUUAGGCCAAGCUAUAGUGCAAGAGCAGAAAAAGGCUUGUUUAUAACUGGGGUUUCUUGGCUUUUCUACCAAGUCUCUCUUUUAAAGGCAACCCACAAAUGUAUACCAUGUCAAGAUCCAACGUUUAGAUUUUGAAUGUGAGUUCAUUAACAUCUUAACCCUUCAUUUCUACAUAAACCAGUACUAUUCAGAUCUGUCCACUGAGUUAUGGAACCUUUCAAGAUGAGUUAUAAUGCUGCAGAUGUGUCAUAAGCAUAACCAAAGCUUAAGUAUUUCAAAGAUGGCUACCCAUUUAGAGGAAUAUUUGUUAAAUGAUCAGGUGAUUCA
Osmerus eperlanus (European smelt) is the source of this 918-nucleotide long non-coding RNA. RefSeq lists it as uncharacterized. The transcript is spliced from 3 exons. The record is from RefSeq and is a predicted model, not a curated record. NCBI's taxonomy places the organism in Eukaryota, Metazoa, Chordata, Actinopteri, Osmeriformes, Osmeridae.